CAGGUGGCCACCCGGGCAAGUUUCAGUGAGGAAGGAGGCUGACAGUGGACGUCUCUGAGCCCCCUCACCAGGGGCUGUGCCCAAGGGCUCAGUCUGGUCUCUGCGCCCCCACCUCUGGGAGCCUCGUUGCCCCUCCUCCUCUCCCCGGGCGUAUGAUGCUGUGAUGCGUGUUCUCAGGAAGUAGCCAGCGCUCUGGGCCCAGACCCAUCCUUCCAAGGGAGCGCCAGGGUCCAUCUGGUCCAGUGUGGCCCCCACGGCAUCUUCGGCCUUGUCAUCUCCAGCAUGGCCAUGCUUGGCUCCCUCCUUGGACCACCUGUGUCCAGCUCCCGGCUGCAAAGGCGUCGCUGGACUGCAGGCCCGGCAUACCCUGUCCCCCAGGCCCCCAGCAUCCCUCCCCACAUUCCAAACCCAGUGAUCUGCUUGAUAGAAGAGGACGUGAUUCUUUUCCAGCUUCAGAUUCACCCUGACAGUGAGUCUGCCCCUCGGCCCCGCCCUCCCGCUCUGGCUCCCUCAUCCCUCCCUAUCCGUCUGCCUGGUGACAUCACGUACAGACCGUGCCUUCGAAGUCGUGGGGCACAGGCUGGUGCUGUCCCCUGCUCUCGGCCUGUUCGGUCACUUCCCUGGGGGCCUUCAUUCCAUAUCUUGAGCAGAUGUUUCAGCUCCAGCAUUCUGAGACUCCUCCUGCAGCCCGUGGAGGUGUCAGACUUCUGUGCCUUGGGGGGAAUGGAUUUUGAGGAGAAAAAACAUGGGGCAGAGAGGUAUGGAAUAGAAAAUAAAUAUAAAUGUAACCUGUGUGGCUGUCUUAUAACCAUGGCAGAUUAGUACAGAGAAUGCCCUGUACGGAACAACACACUGAAGGCUCCAGAUCGAGGUCCUCCCUUUGGGGAGGCUGAGGCUUCAGUCUCUGGCAUUUGGAAUGUAGGCAGCAUCCUUGCUUUUGGCCAGAUCGCCGGGUGUGUGGCACAGCCUGUGCUUUUCAGAUUUACACAGAAUGGCCACUUGGCCCAGGUAGAAGUCAAUGAAGUGUUUCGUUCCACGUGUCACGUAACCACUGAUGUACCUCCCCGAGACGCGUGCCAAGGCAAUGAGUGUCAAAGAGGGGAACACUCCCUGGAAAGUGAGCUCCACACUGGACAUGUGUGCCCUGGUUUCUAGGCCCAGCUCUUCCACAAACCGCUGGGAACUGGGGUAACCUCCACCCUCUCUUCACCUUGAUAUUUACCUCUGCCAGUGAACCCAUUUGCGUUCCCCCUUCUCCCCACUGUGAGGGAGGUAAGAUCAGAGCCCCAUCAUGAGGGGCUGGGGGGCUCAGGAAGAAGAACUAACACCUGCACACAGGUAAGGCCUCCUUGUGCAGUGGGAACAACCAGGUGGCGCCUGCCUGUAUGGCAGCCCCAUCCACCUCCUUAGCUGCUCAUUCUCUCAGCCAUCCCAUAGCAUUUAUUGAAUACCUGCUGCAUGUCCAUACUGUGCUGCCUUCCAGGGGUGCACAGUUGAACACGUCCCUGUUCUGAGAGUCCCAGGGCAUCAGGCUGGCCUCACCCACAGAGGGGCGUCAGGCCUGGUGCCCCCUGCUCAGAGUGUGCCCUCUCUGUGGGCAGAGGGAAGAAGAGUCUUGCCUGGCAGCAUGAUUACUAAGGGCACGUUACAUACAUGAGAGGGGAACUGUGUCUCAGCCACUCACUCUUGUGAGCACAGGAUGCUGAGCUCCCCAGAUGUGGGCUGCCCCAGGCUGGGGCUGGGGAGGCCUCUGGGACCCAGCCCAGCCCCGGCUCGCUCCCCAGAUCGCCCAGCCAGUCACUACCCCGUGUACCAGAAGCAGCACCUGUUCAACAGCAACCCCCACUGGGACUUCGGGGCCUUCAGGAGGCUCAGCCACCUAGUGCGAGAGACUCAAGUCAACUUCUCCAGGUUUGUCCACCAGUUCUUAGAUCCGGGCACAUACGUGUUUCGAGACAACGCACUUCCCGAGAGCGUUGUGGUGGUGUCGGUGAAGGAGAAGGGGAUAGCCUGCGGCCCUGGCCUGUCCUCUGUGCAGCCCUCCUCCCCGUACCAGCUCUCCAGGCAUGGCAUCGUCAGGCACAGGCUGCCAACCCUGGGCCCAGACUGGGCCGUGAUCACAGGGGUGCUGCUGGCUGUCGGCUUGGCAACUGCGCUGCUGACAGGCCUGGGCCUUGUGCUGAGCCCCCCGCUGGCCCAGACCUGCCCAGUCAGAGCUUGGAGACUCCGGGGGAGGGGCCUCAGGGAGCCUCACGUGCCUGCUGACUGCGUGCCUCUCGGGGACAGCCUUACCGUCCGUGAAGACCUCGGUCCUCAGGGCUCUGGGGAAGGAGCCAGCUGCAGGCAGAGAGCCGUUCCCCGGGACACAGGGGAGCCACACCCUGUGAACACCCUAGAGGACUUCAGCGUCCGCACACUCUAUGACAAGCUUGAGGACCAGAGCCUGCACUUGGUGGCCCAGCUGAGCAAGCACAGGAGCGACGCACUGGCCUUCUACAGGGGCGCCAGCCAGCAACUCCAGGGGCUCAAGGACUUUCUGCAGGGCGUCAGCAUGACCGAGCGGCAAGAUCUGGGCAGAGGUGGAGACCUGGAGAUGGGAGCCAAAGCCACUGCCAGGACAGACACUGGGCAGAGAGAGGAAUGGUGCAGUGGUCACACUGCAGCUUCUCCAAGGGUGCGCUGGCAGCAUCCUCUAGGCGGCACCCCCAGCAUGUCUCCACUGGGCUUUCAGUCGAAGCUCGACAGAAUGAUUGCGGCCCUGGCAUCUGCACUUUCUCACGCACGUGGGCAACCAGCCAGGGCCCACAGGAAGGCCUCCGCUCAGGGGGGUGAACAGCCUCUUCCCUCCUGUCAACAAGACCCUCAACUGGUGAGUGACACGCUCCUGAAGCCCCGGCCUCAGCCCUCGGAUGAGGAGCAUCAAAGUGCAAGCCCCCAGAAGACCCCAGGACCUGGACGGCUCCGUCAGGGUGAUGCCAAAGGAGGGGACACUGAGAGCCCAGUUUCCGGACACAGGCACGGAGCCUUUCCUGAGCUGCAGAGAAAGAUAUGGCAGGUGGAAGACAUCUUGGACGAACUGAAUAAAGAGUUCUUCCAGCUCACUGCUCAAGCCCUAGAGCUCCAGAAAGAAGAGCACCAGCCAGACCACCUGCCCCCAAGGAAACACAGUACAUUUGCGGUGGUUCCCAGCAUCUUCCCUCAUGCAGAGCAGGAAGACAGACCUAACCCAGCAGAGGCAGGCGGCCCAGACAGAAAGAGUGUGGGAACCUGGGCCCUGAAGAGCGAGCAGGCCCUGAUCCUGGCGGUGAGGAGAGCCUGCCUGGCUCAGAGGAUCGAAGGCCUGGACUGGGAGCUGUCCCUGCUCCUCCAGGUGGCAGAGGGCAGCACGUGUGCAGGAUGGAGCCAGCCCAGCCUGGGGAGACGCUGAGUCACCCAGGGUGCUGCGGCGGUCAUCUGUGGCAGUGCCUUCUCCACAAAGAACAUGGCCAGGUUACUCUGCGCACUCCAGGCAGGAAGACGUGGGCGUCGCAGGGGCCGCCCUGGCUGGGAAUGUGAGCUCGGUUAUGGCAUGCUCCUAUCUGGUAACACCCAGGUUUCUUUCAGAGCCUGGACCUCGGCUUGUGCUGAUUGCUAUCUGUGAUCCUUUGGGGUGAGGGAAAAUAAAGUCACACAGGUUGAGAAUAUCAACGUGUGUUCCCAUCGCUGAGUCCAUCCCUCAAUCCUCUCAU
RNAcentral lists this long non-coding RNA (3728 nucleotides) under Equus caballus (horse). RNAcentral's name for it is "lncRNA (ENSECAG00000029164.3)". The record is from RNAcentral. Lineage: Eukaryota; Metazoa; Chordata; Mammalia; Perissodactyla; Equidae.